Lactuca sativa (garden lettuce) is the source of this 107-nucleotide small nucleolar RNA. The record is from RefSeq and is a predicted model, not a curated record. NCBI's taxonomy places the organism in Eukaryota, Viridiplantae, Streptophyta, Magnoliopsida, Asterales, Asteraceae.
AAGUCAUGUCGAGGGCAAUUCUGUAGCAUCCUUUUGUAACGCUCCCAAGCUUCAUAUAGAGACUCCCCAUCGAGUUGUUGAAAAUUAUGAAUUGUAUUUUUCAAUUU